UUCCCUGACCAGGGAUGGAACCUGGGCCCCCUGCAUUGGGAGUGCAGCAUCCUAGCCACUGGACCAUCAGGGA
RNAcentral lists this transfer RNA (73 nucleotides) under Eschrichtius robustus (grey whale). RNAcentral's name for it is "tRNA-Gly". Lineage: Eukaryota; Metazoa; Chordata; Mammalia; Artiodactyla; Eschrichtiidae. The record is from RNAcentral.